Molecule: transfer RNA, 66 nt
Filed under: Kikihia cauta
Lineage: Eukaryota; Metazoa; Arthropoda; Insecta; Hemiptera; Cicadidae
Description: tRNA-Leu
Source: RNAcentral
ACUGUUUUAGCAAAAUUGAUGCCUUAAAUUUAGGAUUUAAUAAUGUAAUAUUUAUUACAAAUAGUA